CCUACGGGUGGCAGCAGUGAGGAAUAUUGGUCAAUGGACGAAAGGCUGAACCAGCCAAGUAGCGUGAAGGAAGACUGCCCUAUGGGUUGUAAACUUCUUUUAUGUGGGAAUAAAAGCGUCCACGUGUGGGUUUUUGCAGGUACCGUAUGAAUAAGGAUCGGCUAACUCCGUGCCAGCAGCCGCGGUAAGACGGAGGAUCCGAGCGUUAUCCGGAUUUAUUGGGUUUAAAGGGAGCGUAGGCGGGUUGUUAAGGGAGUUGUGAAAUUUUGUGGCUCAACCGUAAAAUUGCAGCGGAAACUGGCAGCCUUGAGUGCAGUAGAGGCGGGCGGAAUUCGUUGUGUAGCGGUGAAAUGCUUAGAUAUCACGAAGAACCCCGAUUGCGAAGGCAGUUCUCUGGACUGCAACUGACGCUGAGGCUCGAAAGCGUGGGUAUCGAACAGGAUUAGAUACCCUUGUAGUC
RNAcentral lists this ribosomal RNA (460 nucleotides) under uncultured bacterium. Its description in RNAcentral is "partial 16S ribosomal RNA". It matches the Rfam family "Bacterial small subunit ribosomal RNA", at positions 338 to 795 of the family's 1533-position model. The record is from RNAcentral.